UGCGAUUUUUGGGGUGAAUUUCGUCGCUUUUGGGGUUUUUUGUUUUCUUUGCGUUUCCUUUCGUUUUGCUGCUGCUGCGCCACGUGGUGAGGGCACUUCCGGUCGCGGCGCAGGCGUUUGAGCGUCACUUCCGGCGCGCGGCGGCGACAAUAGGCAUCACUUCCGGUUUUUCGGUUUUUUCCCCGCCCCCCGGGGGGCGCCGCAGCGCGGUUUUAUUGGAAGGGGGGCGGGGCUUAAAAUGGGGGCGGGGCCUCGGAACAUCUGUGGGCGGGGCCUGGGGGCGCUAUGGGGCAGCCCCACGGAUCUAUGGGAACGGGACUGCGAUCUAUGGGGCAGCCCCACGGAUCUAUGGGGCGCUGAGCCGGAUCUGUGGGGCAGCCCCACACAUCUAUGGGGCGCUGGUCUGGUUCUACGGGGUGCUGAUCCGGAUCUAUGGGGCAGCCCCACACAUCUAUGGGGGUCUGGUCUGGAUCUAUGGGGCGCUGAGCCGGAUCUGUGGGGCAGCCCCACAAAAUUAGUGUUACGCAUCUAUGGGGCAGCCCCACACAUCUAUGGGGCACUGAGCCAGAUCUAUGGGGCAGCCCCAAACAUCUACGGGGCACUGAGCCGGAUCUAUGGGGCAGCCCCACACAUCUAUGGGGCGCUGAUCUGGAUCUAUGGGGCAGCCCCACACAUCUAUGGGGUGCUGAUCUAG
Molecule: long non-coding RNA, 694 nt
Filed under: Phasianus colchicus (ring-necked pheasant)
Lineage: Eukaryota; Metazoa; Chordata; Aves; Galliformes; Phasianidae
Description: lncRNA (ENSPCLG00000013887.1)
Source: RNAcentral